AACCGUACAGCGAUCGGGCUGUACGAAGGGCUGAUUGGAGCCGAAGUA
RNAcentral lists this small RNA (48 nucleotides) under Ruminococcus sp. YE71. RNAcentral describes it as "gut-2 RNA". It matches the Rfam family "gut-2 RNA". From Rfam's summary of the family: gut metagenomes. Lineage: Bacteria; Bacillati; Bacillota; Clostridia; Eubacteriales; Oscillospiraceae. The record is from Rfam by way of RNAcentral.